This 473-nucleotide ribosomal RNA is filed under the name uncultured bacterium. RNAcentral describes it as "bacterial SSU rRNA". It matches the Rfam family "Bacterial small subunit ribosomal RNA", at positions 28 to 499 of the family's 1533-position model. The record is from RNAcentral.
GAUGAACGCUGGCGGCGUGCUUAACACAUGCAAGUCGAACGAAGCACUUUAUUUGAUUUCCUUCGGGACUGAUUAUUUUGUGACUGAGUGGCGGACGGGUGAGUAACGCGUGGGUAACCUGCCUUGUACAGGGGGAUAACAGUUGGAAACGGCUGCUAAUACCGCAUAAGCGCACAGCAUCGCAUGAUGCAGUGUGAAAAACUCCGGUGGUAUAAGAUGGACCCGCGUUGGAUUAGCUAGUUGGUGAGGUAACGGCCCACCAAGGCGACGAUCCAUAGCCGACCUGAGAGGGUGACCGGCCACAUUGGGACUGAGACACGGCCCAAACUCCUACGGGAGGCAGCAGUGGGGAAUAUUGCACAAUGGGCGAAAGCCUGAUGCAGCGACGCCGCGUGAGCGAAGAAGUAUUUCGGUAUGUAAAGCUCUAUCAGCAGGGAAGAUAAUGACGGUACCUGACUAAGAAGCACCGGCUA